Molecule: ribosomal RNA, 162 nt
Filed under: uncultured bacterium
Lineage: Bacteria
Description: partial 16S ribosomal RNA
Rfam family: Bacterial small subunit ribosomal RNA
Source: RNAcentral
CCAUGCCGGCGUGCCAGGAUCGACGGCCCUAUGGGUUGUAAACUGGCUUUUAUACGGGAAGAAUCUCCUGCUCGUGAGCGGGAUUGACGGUACCGUAGGAAUAAGCACCGGCUAACUCCGUGCCAGCAACGUCGGUGACUGAGCGGGCUGGCAAGGCGCAUA